This 497-nucleotide ribosomal RNA is filed under the name uncultured bacterium. Its description in RNAcentral is "partial 16S ribosomal RNA". It matches the Rfam family "Bacterial small subunit ribosomal RNA", at positions 28 to 507 of the family's 1533-position model. The record is from RNAcentral.
GACGAACGCUGGCGGCGUGCCUAAUACAUGCAAGUUGAGCGAUGAAGAUUGGUGCUUGCGCCAAUUUGAAGAGCAGCGAAAGGGUGAGUAACGCGUGGGGAAUCUGCCUGUGAGCGGGGGACAACAUUUGGAAACGAAUGCUAAUACCGCAUAACAACUUUAAACAUAAGUUUUAAGUUUGAAAGAUGCAAUUGCAUCACUCAAAGAUGAUCCCGCGUUGUAUUAGCUAGUUGGUGUGGUAAAGGCUCACCAAGGCGAUGAUACAUAGCCGACCUGAGAGGGUGGUCGGCCACAUUGGGACUGAGACACGGCCCAAACGCCUACGGGAGGCAGCAGUAGGGAAUCUUCGGCAAUGGACGAGAGUCUGACCGAGCAACGCCGCGUGAGUGAAGAAGGUUUUCGGAUCGUAAAACUCUGUUGGUAGAGAAGAACGUUGGUGAGAGUGGAAAGCUCAUCAAGUGACGGGAACUACCCAGAAAGGGACGGCUAACUACGUG